CAGUAGCCGCGGGAACACGUAGGGUGCAAGCGUUAAUCGGAAUUACUGGGCGUAAAGCGUGCGCAGGCGGCUAUGCAAGACAGAUGUGAAAUCCCCGGGCUCAACCUGGGAACUGUAUUUGUGACUGCAUGGCUAGAGUACGGUAGAGGGGGAUGGAAUUCCGCGUGUAGCAGUGAAAUGCGUAGAUAUACGGAGGAACACCGAUGGCGAAGGCAAUCCCCUGGACCUGUACUGACGCUCAUGCACGAAAGCGUGGGGAGCAAACAGGAUUAGAUACCCCAGUAGUCCCUGUCUCUUAUAA
Molecule: ribosomal RNA, 301 nt
Filed under: uncultured bacterium
Lineage: Bacteria
Description: partial 16S ribosomal RNA
Rfam family: Bacterial small subunit ribosomal RNA
Source: RNAcentral